Molecule: long non-coding RNA, 267 nt
Filed under: Brassica napus (rape)
Lineage: Eukaryota; Viridiplantae; Streptophyta; Magnoliopsida; Brassicales; Brassicaceae
Description: long non-coding RNA (BNAP_LNC024039)
Source: RNAcentral
GAAAUCCUCUAGCUCGCUUCAGAGCGGAAUUAAUAGAUUCAUCGAUGUUGCUUGUCUUUAUGUUGUACCUGUCCUCCUGACAAUAAACCCUUGACCAUAGGCUGACGUCGGCAUUCUCCAAAUACGUUGCAAAGUCCGGGUUUGCACUCCUUAUCUCAGCCAUGUACCGGUCAAAAUCUGAAACCAUAUGAGCAUAAGCAGCACCUUUCACCAAGUACAAGAGAUGUUUCCCUUUAAACUUUUUGACAAUGUUAUCUUGAAGGUGAU